RNAcentral lists this ribosomal RNA (428 nucleotides) under uncultured bacterium. RNAcentral describes it as "bacterial SSU rRNA". It matches the Rfam family "Bacterial small subunit ribosomal RNA", at positions 355 to 775 of the family's 1533-position model. The record is from RNAcentral.
UGGGGAAUCUUGCGCAAAUGCGGGAAACCGUGACGCAGCGACGCCGCGUGGGGGAAGAAGGCCUUCGGGUUGUAAACCUCUUUCAGGAGGGACGAAGCUACUCGGGUGAAUAGCCCAGAGGGUGACGGUACCUUCAGAAGAAGCCCCGGCUAACUACGUGCCAGCAGCCGCGGUAAUACGUAGGGGGCUAGCGUUGUCCGGAUUUAUUGGGCGUAAAGAGCGUGUAGGCGGCCUGGUAGGUCUGCUGUGAAAACUCGAGGCUCAACCUCGAGCUGUCGGCGGAAACCACUUGGCUAGAGUCCGGAAGAGGAGAGUGGAAUUCCUGGUGUAGCGGUGAAAUGCGCAGAUAUCAGGAAGAACACCUAUGGCGAAGGCAGCUCUCUGGGACGGUACUGACGCUGAGACGCGAAAGCGUGGGGAGCGAACAG